AAUCAGAAUUUUAUUGAAUCAGAAUCGAAAUUGAACUCAAAUUAUAUUAAAAUUUUGAUUUAAUUUCGAUUAUCUCAUACCAAAACCAAAGCUGCCCACUCCUACUUAUAUCCACCCUUAUCUUGUAUAAUAAUCUCAAUAAUAAAAACCCAUCAAAACCAAGUCUAGCUCCUGUACACUUAUUUGGUUUUCUCCAAAUGCUUCAAAGUAUAACACAGGCACUUUGUUUUCAAUUUCAAUCAAACCCAUUGCCAUUUAGCCCAGAUGUCAAGCUCCAUACAAUGCUCUCUCAGGACGGAGGAGAAACAUCGUAAAGAGAAGUAAUGGAGUGCUGCUGAAUAACAGAAGAAGAGUGCCUAUUAUGUAAUAAAAAUAAAAUUAAAAUUAAAAUUUUAUUAAAGCACAUCUCUCAUAUAUAUAUAUAUAUACGGGGCAAUCCACGGUCAUCCAAAUAGCAUCCACUAAAUCAACUCUGACUGGCUAUUUUAUGUUUAGAGACUUGCUUAUUUUGGCUUGGUUCGAUCAAAUUUGAGAUUUUCAACUCAAGGUUUGCACUCAAAAGCAGCUGUUAAUUCAUUGAUGACGUUUAGUCAGAAUUUAAAAGAAUAUCAAAAUUACUUAUAAUUUUUAAUUGAAUCAAAUUUUUGUUAAAUAAAAAAGACAGACAAAUCUUGAACUCAAUUCAGACUGCAAUAUUAGUUCUCGCCAAUACCAUAAUAAUAACAAUAAUAAAGAUGAUGAUGAUGAUUUUUUAAUGCAAUAAACCCAUCUUGCUGGUAUUUAGAUGAUGAAAAUUGGGAAAAAAAGAAAGAUCUCACUAGUGACGCUUCAUUUCACGAAAGAUGUUUGCCACCUUCGGAGAUAAUCUUGGAAGGAAUUUAAACAACCAAAGCUUUACGCAUGCGUCAAUAACAACCGGAACCAGGCUGAUAAAAAUAGUAAUAGCAGACUGAUCAACUUCAAGCCCGUAGUGUUCAACAAUUACUUCCAACAAGGUCUGCCAACCAGAUUCAGAAUGAUACCCUAAGAAAAUGUCUGUAACAAGUAUAAUGAGAAAUGCCUUCCCAGUGUCUGAAAUAUUAUUUAUUAUCUUAUAUCCAGUAAAUUUCAGCAAAGCUACUUUACUCUGAUUGAAGUACAAAAGAAUGAACAAUGAGAUCCCAAAUACCAUAUCUGACCAUAUGUUGGCAAAUGCUCUACGGUUUUCUAACCUCCACUCAUCCCGUAGCUCCAACGCUUUGUGCCGUAACUCCCACCAGACCUCCUCAUCAGAAAGAGGUGGAGAUUUGCCAAUCUCUACUUCAAGCCGCAAUCUUGCUCGCUCUGUGUUUAGUUCCUUAACCAUUUCAAGCUUUUGAUUCCUUCUCACAUCAAGCAUCUGUGCUGCAAGUGGUACAGUCUUCACAUACCUGUCAAGAAAGGGCAUGAGAACAUAAUCAUGAACAGCAAAGUCCAGAGCCCAAGGAAUUAAUAUUAAUACUGCCAGAAAUUUAGCCGAAUUUGAGGAGGCAUAUCUGAAGACACGGUCUUCAUAGAGCAAAUCCUCUUCUUCCCUACCAAGAACCAAAUCUCUAACUGACUCAACAAACCCUUUCUCUGGAACGAGGUCACUGGGAUCAGACCGCACAUCCUCUGCUGCACCAUUGCCAUCCAACUCUUGACUCCACCAAGAACCAUUCACAUUAUGAUUAUUACUAUCGUCCACAAUCCAAUCCUCCCACCUCCUACUCUCCUCAUUCAACAUGUCUUCUUGUGCUUCCCUCAACUCCACAAUGGCCUCAGCUCUCCUCUUCCAUGCCUCAAACUUCUGCUCCUCCGACAGCUCUUCAUCACUUGAACUUUCUAACAAUUCAUCCUCCAGCAUAUCAUCAUCUUUUAAACCAAGCCAAUUGCCAUCAUCAUCAAAAAAGAACCUCUGCCACCAACUUCUUUUCUUUGAGUUACGUUUGUUAUUCUUCCUUGCAUUUGGUACUAUCUCACAAAAUCCCCUCCUUGCUCUACUCAAUUGGAGCAAACAAUUGGGUGACGCAAGAGAAGAUAAAGAAUUCCUAAGUGGGUUUUGAUCAAUAAUGACUAAACUCUGGCACAACACCAUUGAAUUGCUCAUUAAGAAUAACAUGUACAAAAUCCCAUCCUUUUUGGCUUCUCAAAAUAAUAACACACUACAAAUGAAACUAAACAAACUGUCAAGCAGCUUACUAAAAUUCAAGAAAGGCAUUACAUACUUGAGUUUUGCUAGUUUCUUUGCAGAAUUAAGCAUAAGAACCCCUUGGAAAUGGCAAAAUCGCUCAUAAGAAACAACAAAUUCUUCUAUCGAGAAAAGAAAACAAGGAAAAAAAAAAAAAAACUCCAGAGACCCAGAAAUCCUCUAACUUCAACAGUUGACAAGCAGAAAAGAUAGUAGAAUUUCUUUGCACAGUGAAGCUGAAAUAAGGUAACGGUUUUGGGAUAGCGUCCGGAUGAAACCCAUUUCGUCCAAGUGACAUGACAACCCUUUGGGUUUUUAUGCAGAGAAGAGCAAUAACUGUGGCAUGAACGUAAAUCGAAAUAAACGUUAGGGGGUAAUCUCA
Molecule: unclassified non-coding RNA, 2570 nt
Filed under: Hevea brasiliensis (rubber tree)
Lineage: Eukaryota; Viridiplantae; Streptophyta; Magnoliopsida; Malpighiales; Euphorbiaceae
Source: RNAcentral